AGGAUCAGUGGCGGACGCACGUAGGGACGAGUGGGGGCAGCUGCCCCCAGUGAACUUUUAUUUUUGUUGAACUGGUCUCCGUUUUGCCCCCACAAUCAAUAUCCAAGAUUCCAAAUACUUGUUCUCCUCCUUCCUCCGAUCUAAUUCCCUCUGCAUGCUGGCUUUUCUGGCAUCCCUUGUUUAAGUGACCCCCUGAUUUGGAUUUUGUAUCCACUGAUCUACACCUCCAUCUACUUCUCAUACCUUGAUUCCGGAUCGAUCAGGCUCUGAAGUACAAAGGUUGCUGGGGUGGGAAAGAGAAGAAGAGGGAUUCAAGAUUGUGGUGGACUUCGGGGGGAGGAUUUGGGUUUGUUUCCGGAGAGGUGGAUUCGAAAAUUUUGAUCUAGUUUGGGGGAUAGUUUUCAGCAGGAAAAGAGGUGUGUUUGGUUUGGGUUUGUAUGGGUUGUUUGAAAUUGUGGUUUUGAUUAUGAAAUCUAUAUGUAUUUGUUGUUUGCUUUACAAUCUCACUGUUUGUUUCUGCAAAAUCAAUUCAUAUUAGAGAUCGAUGUUUGGGCUUUGGAGCUUGGAGACUGCCAAUAUAAUUAAAGUAGUGUCUAGCUUUUGCUAGAGAUCAAGAUGUACAUUGCUUUUGGGGUGCUAACAUCUGCUUGAUUUUCUGGAGCUUUUUUACUUGCAGAUUAGCUGCUGCUUUGACAACUAUGAUGUUCCUCAGGGACAGUUGUGUGAAUUUCAAGUCCAUCUGUAUAGCAGCAGAGUAUUCAUGGGGGCUGUUUUUUUAUAUCUAUUUGAUGAUGCUAGUGAUACAUCAGAUGAUAGAUAGAUGGUCUAUCAUGAUAAGGUAGUACAUGCCCCUGGUUCGUCAUGUCAAAAGCAUGGGAAUGGUCCUCUGGUUGGGGUGAAAAGAUUUAUUUCUCUUGUUGGCGGGUGAUAUCUACAAUAUAGCAGUAUAUGUUUAGGUGCUUUAUUCACAAUUCAUGUAGUAAAUGAAAAUCUAUCAAUCUAUUUGAUAUAAAAUAUAGCGAUUGAAGUUUUGUUUCAUUAA
This is a long non-coding RNA of Rosa chinensis, 1042 nucleotides long. RefSeq lists it as uncharacterized. The transcript has 2 exons. NCBI's taxonomy places the organism in Eukaryota, Viridiplantae, Streptophyta, Magnoliopsida, Rosales, Rosaceae. The record is from RefSeq and is a predicted model, not a curated record.